GAUGAACGCUGGCGGCGUGCCUAAUACAUGCAAGUCGAGCGAACAGACGAGGAGCUUGCUCCUCUGACGUUAGCGGCGGACGGGUGAGUAACACGUGGAUAACCUACCUAUAAGACUGGGAUAACUUCGGGAAACCGGAGCUAAUACCGGAUAAUAUAUUGAACCGCAUGGUUCAAUAGUGAAAGACGGUUUUGCUGUCACUUAUAGAUGGAUCCGCGCCGCAUUAGCUAGUUGGUAAGGUAACGGCUUACCAAGGCAACGAUGCGUAGCCGACCUGAGAGGGUGAACGGCCAAAAUGGAAAUGAGACACGGUCCAAACUCCUAGGGGAGGCAGCAGUAGGGAAUCUUCCGCAAUGGGCGAAAGCCGGACGGAGCAACGCCGGGUGAGUGAUGAAGGGUUUCGGAUCGUAAAACUCUUUUAUUAGGGAAGAAAAAAUGUGUAAGUAAAUAUGCACGUUUUGACGGUACCAAAUCAAAAAGCCACGGCUAACUACGU
RNAcentral lists this ribosomal RNA (496 nucleotides) under uncultured bacterium. Its description in RNAcentral is "partial 16S ribosomal RNA". It matches the Rfam family "Bacterial small subunit ribosomal RNA", at positions 28 to 506 of the family's 1533-position model. The record is from RNAcentral.